CCUACGGGAGGCAGCAGUGAGGAAUAUUGCACAAUGGAGGAAAGCCUGAUGCAGCGAAGCAGCGUGAAGGAAGAAGUAUUUCUGUGUGUUAAGCUCUAUCAACAUGGAAAUAAAUUGCGGUACGUGACUAAUAAUCCACGUCUAACUUCAUGCCAGCAGCCGCGGUAAUACGUAGGGAGCAGGCGUUAUCCGGAUUUACUGGGUGUAAAGGGGACGUAGAUGGCCAGACAAGUCAGAAGUGAAAGUCUAGGGCUCAACCCUGGGACUGCAUUUGAAACUGGCAGGCUUGAGUGCAGUAGAGGUAAGCGGAAUUCCUAGUGUAGCGGUGAAAUGCGUAGAUAUCAGGAGGAACACCAGUGGCGAAGGCGGCUCACUGGACUGUAACUGACGUUGAGGCUCGAAAGUGUGGGGAGCAAACAGGAUUAGAUACCCGAGUAGUC
Molecule: ribosomal RNA, 440 nt
Filed under: uncultured bacterium
Lineage: Bacteria
Description: partial 16S ribosomal RNA
Rfam family: Bacterial small subunit ribosomal RNA
Source: RNAcentral